UUUAGCCUAAGUGACCCAAACUAGCCCCUCUAUCUAGACUAAAAGAUAUUCGAUUGGGGUACAGCCCUAUCGAACAAGGAUACAACCUACACUAGCGGGUCAGGGCCACGCCUUUUCCCGUAGGCCUUAAAGCCGCCAUCAGUAAAUAAAGCGUCACAGCACAACACUGUAAAUACCAAAAGUCCUAGCAAACCCCUAGCAAACAACUGAGCCAUACUAUAUUAAUAGUAGCACUAAUGCUAAAACUAGUAACAAGAAAGCUUCUCUGACCACCCCCGUGCCCCAGUAACAGAAAAACUACUGGACACUAACAGACCAAAACAGGACAUCACAAACUGUCAUACCAACACUGGAGUGCCUAAAAGAAGGUUAAAAACCACAUAAGGAACUCAGCAACCCUCUGUCCCAACUGUUUACCAAAAACACAGCCUUUAGCCAAGCAAGUAUUAAAGGUGCUGCCUGCCCAGUGAAAUUUUUUAACGGCCGCGGUAUCCUAACCGUGCAAAGGUAGCGUAAUCACUUGUCUUUUAAAUAAAGACUUGUAUGAACGGCUAAAUGAGGACAGGCCUGUCUCUUGUGGCCAACCAAUGAAACUGAUCUUUAAGUACAAAAGCUUAAAUAAAAACAUAAGACGAGAAGACCCGUGGAGCUUAAAACCCCCCGCUAUAGUGCUAAAUGGCGCGGGUUUUGAGUUGGGGCGACUUCGGAAUAAAGCCAAACUUCCGAGCACAGAGUUAACUACUCUACCCUAGACUGACAAGUCAAAGGAAACCACCGACCCAGUCACACUGAACAACGAACCAAGUUACCCCAGGGAUAACAGCGCCAUCUUCUUCAAGAGUCCCUAUCGACAAGAAGGUUUACGACCUCGAUGUUGGAUCAGGACACCCAAAUGGUGCAACAGCUAUUAAAGGUUCGUUUGUU
Molecule: ribosomal RNA, 924 nt
Filed under: Saproscincus basiliscus
Lineage: Eukaryota; Metazoa; Chordata; Lepidosauria; Squamata; Scincidae
Description: partial 16S ribosomal RNA
Rfam family: Bacterial large subunit ribosomal RNA
Source: RNAcentral